RNAcentral lists this ribosomal RNA (453 nucleotides) under uncultured Adhaeribacter sp. RNAcentral describes it as "bacterial SSU rRNA". It matches the Rfam family "Bacterial small subunit ribosomal RNA", at positions 341 to 792 of the family's 1533-position model. The record is from RNAcentral. Lineage: Bacteria; Pseudomonadati; Bacteroidota; Cytophagia; Cytophagales; Hymenobacteraceae.
ACGGGAGGCAGCAGUAGGGAAUAUUGGGCAAUGGACGCAAGUCUGACCCAGCCAUGCCGCGUGCAGGAAGAAGGCCUUCUGGGUUGUAAACUGCUUUUAUCUGGGAAGAAAAAGCCCCUGCGGGGGAAACUGACGGUACCAGAGGAAUAAGCACCGGCUAACUCCGUGCCAGCAGCCGCGGUAAUACGGAGGGUGCAAGCGUUGUCCGGAUUUAUUGGGUUUAAAGGGUGCGUAGGCGGCCCGUUAAGUCAGUGGUGAAAGCCUCCAGCUCAACUGGAGAACUGCCAUUGAUACUGACGGGCUUGAGUACAGACGAGGUUGGCGGAAUUGAUGGUGUAGCGGUGAAAUGCAUAGAUACCAUCAAGAACUCCGAUUGCGUAGGCAGCUAACUAGGCUGUAACUGACGCUGAGGCACGAAAGCGUGGGGAGCGAACAGGAUUAGAUACCCUGGUA